RNAcentral lists this ribosomal RNA (550 nucleotides) under uncultured bacterium. RNAcentral's name for it is "bacterial SSU rRNA". It matches the Rfam family "Bacterial small subunit ribosomal RNA", at positions 120 to 704 of the family's 1533-position model. The record is from RNAcentral.
GGGAACGUGCCCUUCUCUAAGGAAUAGCCACUGGAAACGGUGAGUAAUACCUUAUACGCCCUUCGGGGGAAAGAUUUAUCGGAGAAGGAUCGGCCCGCGUUAGAUUAGAUAGUUGGUGGGGUAACGGCCUACCAAGUCUACGAUCUAUAGCUGGUUUUAGAGGAUGAUCAGCAACACUGGGACUGAGACACGGCCCAGACUCCUACGGGAGGCAGCAGUGGGGAAUCUUGGACAAUGGGGGCAACCCUGAUCCAGCCAUGCCGCGUGAGUGAUGAAGGCCUUAGGGUCGUAAAGCUCUUUCGCCUGUGAUGAUAAUGACAGUAGCAGGUAAAGAAACCCCGGCUAACUCCGUGCCAGCAGCCGCGGUAAUACGGAGGGGGUUAGCGUUGUUCGGAAUUACUGGGCGUAAAGCGCGCGUAGGCGGGCCAGAAAGUUGGGGGUGAAAUCCCGGGGCUCAACCCCGGAACUGCCUCCAAAACUCCUGGUCUUGAGUUCGAGAGAGGUGAGUGGAAUUCCGAGUGUAGAGGUGAAAUUCGUAGAUAUUCGGAGG